AAAAAAAAACAUGUUUGUGAAUGUUGGUAAUUUGCCAGUUUGAAUUCAAAGUAGGCUAUGUGUGUGAUUCAAGUAGAUCUGAUGAGUUGAAAACUUGCAACUUUAUACAGUAGCAAAACAAUGCUGAGUUUUGACAAAAAAUAUAUAUUUUUAAAUGCUACAGUUGUGGUUUUCAUGUCUAUAUAUAAAUCCAUUUGCAAAAUUAUGACCUUUCAACCUCUAAUGCAGAAAUAUUAAUUCAUCCGUUUAUGACUUCAAGGUUAGAUUAUUGUAAUGCUUUACUGGGUGGUUGUUCUGCACGCUUGAUAAAAUUACAAAUUACAAAAGUAAAUUACAAUAUAUAUGUAUUAACAAACAGUCAACAUUAUUAUGUAUGGGUUAAAAUAACAAGAUUCAAUUCAGUGCAGUCCUGUAUCAUUAUACAUAUCGUAUCGUGGCCUCUUUAAUGUGAGAUGACUUAGCUGGUGAUACACAGCCUGCACACACUGCAAACAUACUGUCAAGCUGGUACCUGCCUAAAUAUUGCGAGACCUUUUCUGAACUCUGGUUCUCCAUGAACAUCAGGAAUGCUCUUCAAAUUUUCUUGACCUGAAAAUUAAUUUUGACCUUUGGCCUGUUUCAGCAAAUCUUCAUUUUAAUGGAAUUUAGUAACAUAUAUGAAAAAUGGAAAUGGCUAUAAGAAUAUAGGAUGGUGUACUGUACUGUCAGUGCCACCAAUCCUAUGGUGGUGAGGAUUUUCUUCAGCUUUUGCUUUUUCUUGCUUUAAAAACUACAGAAGAUUCAUGAUGAGCACAGCCAGAAUGUGAAGUGAUGUGCCAACAAUUUGAGCACUUUUCUGUUGCUAAGUUUUCCCUUGACUCAAGUUGUCAUCUUUAUUUAUAUAGCAUUUUUAACAAUACACAGUGUCAAAGCAGCUUUACAGUAUUAAAAUAGAAAAAUAGUGUCAGUAAUGCAAAAACAUUCAGGUUUUUUUUUUCAAGUUUCAAGAGCUAACCACAUCCUGGCCUUUUUUCACUUUGAUUGAUCCAUAAUAGAAUAGAAUGGAGAAUGUCCUUGUUGUGACAUGUGUUUUCUAGCUACAUUUAGCAGUGCCUACCCAGGACCACAGUGUCACACCCUUUUGUUUUGUUUUGUGUUUUUUCCCCCAUGUGCUCUGUGUGUGUGUGUGUGUGUUGCUAUCCUUCUGUUUUGAAUUGCCUUGUUGUGGAUUAUUAAAAGACUGUUAAUGGUUAUCGGUCAUCUUCAUGCUCUCCUUCCCACACCACAAUGUGACAGAAGUCUGGACCAUAAAAGACAAGUAAGCGAAAUGUUUUCCUGCACAUUUUUUUCAUUUUUGUCCGUUUUUAUUUAUUUUUUCUUGUUAUGAUCGAUCCUACCAUCCUUGUCCUCCUGCUAGAGGAGGGGGAUUGCUCUCUCCAGGUGUUCUUUACCAAACUUCCUCUGCUCAUUUUAUCUGACUAGACUGGACCUCGGGAGAGCCUCGCCGCCUUCAUUGAGUGGGUACUGGUGUCAUGAAAGUCUUCACUGACUGUGGACAUGAAGGACAACCACACCAGUCCCACUCUGGACCCAGAGCCCAGCCCACCAUUUCAGUGCUGAACCUCCCUGCCUCACUUCCUAUCCGUUAUUCCCAUAUUCCCCCUCUGUCUCACCCUUCCUAUAGAUGGGAGCAAACUCUUCACACCCUUGUACUCUUUUGUUUUUGUUUUCAUUCCCCAUGUGCUCUGUAUUUGUCUCACUUGAUUGUAUCAUUAUGUUCACAUGUGUGUUGUUAAUUAUCUUCAUUAACCCCAUUUUAUGAUUUCUUCCUGUUCAGUGUUUUUCAUCUGGUCUACUUCAUUGUACUGUGUUUGUUUGUUUGUUUUUGGGCAUAGAAGGACAGAUUUCAAGACAUUUCUGAAAGCAAAGAGGAUCCUCUGGUAUGGGAGAACAGUUGGCUGUCCUCAUAAAAAAAAAAAAAAAAAAAAAUAAUUAAAAAAACGUAUAAAACCUUUACUCAGUAUGUUUUAAUACCCAGAAAGUGGUUUUCUCAAAAGUCUUUGUGUAACAAAAACCUGACAUAUGUUGUAUAUUUGUGUGUCUGCCACUGUCCCCUAUCUGUUGUCGUGAUCCCUGCAUGCAGCGUCACUCAGGCCAUGAAAUAUAGGCCGCUUAAAAAGACAAGAAAAUGUAUUGUGCUAUCUCAGGCUAUGUAUUUAUGUACUUAUCUACUUCAUGUUUUGAUGUUUUUGUCAUGCCUGUUACAGACAUGCGUUAUUAUACAGUAGUUUUAAUUAGAACUAUGUUAUAAUUUUCAUAUGAGCAGUAUUUUAGUCCCUUUUCACUGUGAUUGUUUCAAAUUUUAGUAUUAGUGAAGCACAUUACUUUUCUAUGAGAUGUAAAGCUUGGUUUCACAGACAGUGUUUAGGCUAAGUCAGGGUUAGGCCUUAGUUCAAUUAGGACAUUUAAGUAGCUUUUAUAAACGUGCCUUACUGGCACGCAUCUUGAGACAAAACAAUGACACUGACAUAUUUUAAGAUCUGUUAGUGCAAGUUGCUUUCAGUUAAAACAGCUCAGACAUGCAUUUUAGUCUGGGACUAACUUAAGCCUUGUCUGUUAUAUCGAGAGCUAAUGUUUUAGGGUAUUGAAAUUAGACCCUUGUGUCUGUGUUUGUCCCCACACAGAAUUUAAAAUAUAUUGAUAUACUAACAGCAGGGAAAAGUUAUGUGAAUAUCCAUGCUAUUAGUGAGCAGUGAAGUUGUGGUGUUGUUUACAUUUUCGUUCCUAAUUUCCUUAGCAAAUUCUGUCACGGAGAACUACUCCUCUUUAGGAUGCCAUUAAUUACAUCCUUGCAGGAAGAGACAAGAAUUCAAUGUUAGAAAUCAAAUAUAUUAAUCCAGUUAAAUCUGAGUGACUCUGACACACUGCAGGCUAGACUGAGGGGUUACAUGUCACUGGUUCUUGAAUGGAUAUUAUGACUAGUGGUUUGCAGUCUGACUAUAAAUUGUACAAACAUCAAUAUAAAUUAAAGUUGUUAAUAGUAUUUGAAUAAUAUUUUAGUUAAUAGUGGGCCUGUCUGUUACCGUAUUCUACACUUGGACAUGUAUUCAUUAUUCUACAUGUAGAAUUAUUAGAAUAAUUUGUGCUGAGUUGUACCAGUGGAUAAUCAGCUACCCGUGUCUCUAAUAAGGUUGUAUGUGCAGGUCGUGGUAUCUUCACUUUAGCUGUUUUCAAUCAAGGAGUACAGAGAGGAGCUCAUUGAUGCAGCUGAAGCUUAACAUAGAAGUAAACUGUACCAAAAUGCAUGGUUAAUCCCAAUCUUUGUCUUCAUAUUGAAGCGGAAAUUAAAGUACAGUUUAAAAGCAUGUCACUAUAAAUGUCUGUUCAGUGCAUAAUGUUUGUAAACAGUAUUGAUGGAGUACUUGAAGAUGGGCGACUGGUAAACGAUGAGCACAAGGCACCAAAUUGCAGAAUGAAGUUGAUUGAAGCAGAAGGGCCACAUCUCUGCCUUUUGCACUGAAGGAAAUUAUGGCAGGAACUGAAAUCACUUAUGACUAUGGUAGGAAAGAAUGGCCCUGGUGUAAAAAGGUGGGUAAUUUUUUUUCCUAUGAAUUGGUGUCGAGGUUUAAAGCCUAUACAUCUAGACAAUUAAACCAUCUGUUUUAAAAGCUACUGGGUUUGUGUGAGUGUGUAAAAGAUGAUGUGUGUUUUAUGAUGCCUCAGAGAUUACACAAUACCUAUCGCUUGUUAGUGCCAACAGUUAUAGCCAAAAAAUAGAAGUCUUAAGGUUAAUCUUGAGCUUGCAUGACUCUCCCAGGUGAUGCCAGCAGAAUUUUGUAGAUUCCCCCUACUGUUACAAGCACUGCUGCUCAAGAGUCUAUUAAAGACCAUUUCCAAGACCAAAGCAUGUCAUCCAAAGUCUAUUGAAGGUCAUUGACUGUUUGACUUAAUGUUUUACAUCAGUUAUUGUGGGUAUAUAAACGCACUGUGCCUUCAUGUCCUGCCUCUUCCACAGAAUUAAAAGCAGUGUCAGUCAUCUAGUCCCACACCGUGGCCCUGAGCAUGAGGUGUGUUGGAGGUCAAUGUGGCCCUUCUUCUGUGAAAGAGGGGUUUGGAGAAGUUGGUGUCCAGCAACAGGAGGUGUCACCCGCUAUGUUCUCAACAGACCUUACCAGUGAGUGCUGUGGUGUGUGGCAUAAAAUCUGCCUCCAGAUAUCCUCAGAAGAAUGGGAUAUAUCAGAUGAUGAUGUCUUAUCUAAUGGAUUUUGGAUUAAGAAAACUCAGGGACAGAGUUGACUGAGUUGCCUGAACCAUCAAAAAAGUCCCAUGCUACUGUAAGGCGUGAGGUUUCUGCUGGUGUAAAUAAAGACGAAG
This is a long non-coding RNA of Puntigrus tetrazona (Sumatra barb), 4353 nucleotides long. RefSeq lists it as uncharacterized. The record is from RefSeq and is a predicted model, not a curated record. NCBI's taxonomy places the organism in Eukaryota, Metazoa, Chordata, Actinopteri, Cypriniformes, Cyprinidae. The transcript is spliced from 4 exons.